This 463-nucleotide ribosomal RNA is filed under the name Karusasaurus polyzonus. Its description in RNAcentral is "partial 12S small subunit ribosomal RNA". It matches the Rfam family "Bacterial small subunit ribosomal RNA", at positions 795 to 1521 of the family's 1533-position model. Lineage: Eukaryota; Metazoa; Chordata; Lepidosauria; Squamata; Cordylidae. The record is from RNAcentral.
GCUAGCCUUAAACGAGAUAAAAAGAUACUAUUUAUCCGCCAGAGAACUACGAGCAAAAUACUUAAAACUCAAAGGACUUGGCGGCAUUUCACAUCACCCUAGAGGAGCCCGUCCAAUAAUCGACAACACACGCUCAACCCUACCAUUUUUGGCCCCUCCAGCCUAUAUACCGCCGUCGUCAGCUAACCUUGUGAAAGAAAAAAAGUAAGCACAACAGCCCUCGCUAAAACGUCAGGUCAAGGUGUAGCUAAUAAAAUGGCUGUGAUAGGCUACAUUUUCUAACAAAGAAAACACGGAAAAUACAAUGAAACCUGUAUUUAAAGGCGAAUUUAGCAGUAAAAUAGGAAAUGAUCCCUACUUUAAUACCGCUCUGGAAUGCGCACACACCGCCCGUCACCCUCCUCGAAUAAUAGAUGAGGCAAGUCGUAACAUGGUAAGCGUACUGGAAAGUGCGCUUGGCUUU